Gouania willdenowi (blunt-snouted clingfish) is the source of this 665-nucleotide long non-coding RNA. Lineage: Eukaryota; Metazoa; Chordata; Actinopteri; Blenniiformes; Gobiesocidae. The record is from Ensembl.
CUACAUUAUCCAGAAAGUAAGUGUUAUUUGAAGCCACAUCAGAAUUCAUGGAUUUCCUAGGAAAGUUUCCCGGGCAUGUACAGAACCUGACCAAAGAAGGACCCAUCCCACGACACUUUGAGGGCCCACUCAAGGAUGAGGACGGGCUGCUCACAACGGGAAGGGGCCGGAAAAGAAAGGCUGACAAAGACAAUGUUUUACUGUCAAACAGCAAGAAACCAAAGGUUGUGGAGGGGUUUCAGGAGCUACCAUCUUGUAUUCUCUUGGAGGACUAUUCUCAGGUUUACCCUGACUCACCAUGUUUAAAUGAAACAGAGAAAGACUGUAUCCGAAAAAGAGAAGGACCCAUCCCACGACACUUUGAGGGCCCACUCAAGGAUGAGGACCGGCUGCUCACAACGGGAAGGGGCCGGAAAAGAAAGGCUGAGGAAGACAAUGUUCAACUGUCAAACAGCAAGAAACCAAAGGUUGUGGAGGGGUUUCAGGAGCUUCCAUCUUGCAUUCUCUUGGAGGACAAUUCUCAGGUUUACCCUGACUCACCAUGUUUAGAUGAAACAGAGAAAGACUGGAUCCGAAAAAGAGGUAAGAUGAACAAAGCUAAACAAUAUAAAAUACACUAUUAUCGAGUGUAGAACCCGUAUUUUCAAGGUAAAUAUUGCAAACAA